AAGUCGUAACAAGGUUUCCGUAGGUGAACCUUCGGAAGGAUCAUUACCGUAACGCGGCGGUCCGGCAACCGCAAGGAAGUCGGCCGCCACACGCGUUUUUUCCACCCUUGAUUUUGAGCACCUUCGUUUCCUCGGCGGGUUCGCCCGCCAAUGAGGACCCCCUCAAACUCUUUGUAAUAGCAAUAUUUGUCUGAAAACAAAACAAUAAUUAAAACUUUCAACAAUGGAUCUCUUGGUUCUGGCAUCGAUGAAGAACGCAGCGAAAUGCGAUAAGUAGUGUGAAUUGCAGAAUUCAGUGAAUCAUCGAAUCUUUGAACGCACAUUGCGCCCCUCGGUAUUCCGUGGGGCAUGCCUGUUCGAGCGUCAUUUAAACCCUCAAGCCUAGCUUGGUAUUGGGUGCUUGUCCCGCCUCUGCGCGGCGACUCACCUCAAAGUCAUUGGCAGCCCGCAUCCGCCGGUCUCGAGCGCAGCACAGUCGCACUCUUGGCAACGGCAGAUCGGCUCUCCAAAAGCUUAUUUCAACCAUUGACCUCGGAUCAGGUAGGGAUACCCGCUGAACUUAA
This 563-nucleotide ribosomal RNA is filed under the name uncultured fungus. RNAcentral's name for it is "eukaryotic LSU rRNA". The stretch from base 213 to 366 matches the Rfam family "5.8S ribosomal RNA". Lineage: Eukaryota; Fungi. The record is from RNAcentral.